RNAcentral lists this ribosomal RNA (393 nucleotides) under uncultured bacterium. RNAcentral describes it as "bacterial SSU rRNA". It matches the Rfam family "Bacterial small subunit ribosomal RNA", at positions 976 to 1381 of the family's 1533-position model. The record is from RNAcentral.
AGGGCUCGACUUCUAGGAAGGUUGCCGAAAGGUGACUGUGCUUUUUAAGAACCUAAAAUCAGGUGCUGCAUGGCUGCCGUCAGCUCGUGCCGUGAGGUGUUCCGUUAAGUCGGGCAACGAGCGCAACCCUUGCUCUGUAUUUAACUUAAUACAGAGGACUGCCGGCGUAUAGUCGGAGGAAGGUGGGGAUGACGUCAAGUCAGCAUGGCCCUUUGAUGCCCUGGGCGACACACGUGCUACAAUGGUCUAUACAAAGGGUAGCUAAGCCGUAAGGUGGAGCUAAUCCCAAAAAAUGGACCCCAGUUCGGAUUGAGGUCUGCAACUCGACCUCAUGAAGCCGGAAUCGCUAGUAACCGUGGGUCAGCAUACCACGGUGAAUAUGUUCCCAGGUCU